RNAcentral lists this transfer RNA (63 nucleotides) under Lepyrus sp. G312. RNAcentral's name for it is "tRNA-Trp". Lineage: Eukaryota; Metazoa; Arthropoda; Insecta; Coleoptera; Curculionidae. The record is from RNAcentral.
AGAAUUUAAGUUAAAAAAACUAUUGACCUUCAAAGUCAAAUAUAGAUCCAAUUCUAAUUCUUA